This 531-nucleotide ribosomal RNA is filed under the name uncultured bacterium. RNAcentral's name for it is "bacterial SSU rRNA". It matches the Rfam family "Bacterial small subunit ribosomal RNA", at positions 777 to 1303 of the family's 1533-position model. The record is from RNAcentral.
AAUAGAUACCCUGGUAGUCCACGCCGUAAACGAUGAGUGCUAAGUGUUAGAGGGUUUCCGCCCUUUAGUGCUGCAGCUAACGCAUUAAGCACUCCGCCUGGGGAGUACGGCCGCAAGGCUGAAACUCAAAGGGAAUUGACGGGGGCCCGCACAAGCGGUGGAGCAUGUGGUUUAAUUCGAAGCAACGCGAAGAACCUUACCAGGUCUUGACAUCCUCUGACACUCCUAGAGAUAGGACUUUCCCCUUCGGGGGGACAGAGUGACAGGUGGUGCAUGGUUGUCGUCAGCUCGUGUCGUGAGAUGUUGGGUUAAGUCCCGCAACGAGCGCAACCCUUGAUCUUAGUUGCCAGCAUUCAGUUGGGCACUCUAAGGUGACUGCCGGUGACAAACCGGAGGAAGGUGGGGAUGACGUCAAAUCAUCAUGCCCCUUAUGACCUGGGCUACACACGUGCUACAAUGGAUGGUACAAAAGGGCAGCAAAGCCGCGAGGCCUAGCCAAUCCCAUAAAACCAUUCUCAGUUCGGAUUGGUA